AGGGUAGUGGGUGCUGUAGCAGAGGCCAUAAUUGGGAGAGAUGGAGGGAGAAAGAGAGUGAUGUGUGUUUAGAGAGGGAGUGAAGAUGUGUGGACUAAAAGAAGAAGCUCAUAUGGAUGUGAAAAUGUAAAAGACGUGAAGAUGUGGAUGUGAGGAAGGAAGAUGGGAAUGGAUGGGCAAUGUGAGUAGAUUUCGGAUUUUCUCUUAUCGUUGAGGAGAGGUUCAAGAUGUUCGAUGCUUUUAAUAUUUGCCAUUUGC
RNAcentral lists this unclassified non-coding RNA (258 nucleotides) under Hevea brasiliensis (rubber tree). Lineage: Eukaryota; Viridiplantae; Streptophyta; Magnoliopsida; Malpighiales; Euphorbiaceae. The record is from RNAcentral.